RNAcentral lists this unclassified non-coding RNA (955 nucleotides) under Hevea brasiliensis (rubber tree). Lineage: Eukaryota; Viridiplantae; Streptophyta; Magnoliopsida; Malpighiales; Euphorbiaceae. The record is from RNAcentral.
CAAGGCCAAUAUCGAAAUCUAUCACAUGAAGGAAAGGAGGAGAACCGUCGAGGUUUUCGAGGAGGGCUUGAUUUGCAGUGAAAUGAAUGAACAUGGGGAUAGGAGAGAUACCUGAGAAGGCCUUAUAAACCCUUAUAGUUUGGACCACUUCGGACCACGAAGCAAGUCGAGUUGGUGGGCGAGGCGAUCCAGUGAGAAGAGAUUGAAGAGCUUCUUUGAAAAAGAAGGCAGCUCGUUGGAGCGGUUUGCCUAUCGGUGAUUGUAGGCGGUGAUUGAGCCGGUCCAAUAUCACGUGGGCGAGUUGUAUCUCGUUGGAGUCAACACAAUCUGCUGCUCGAAUAAGUUCUUGAAUAAGAUCAAAACCAACGUUCCAAUUGCCAAUGAUGAGACGAAUCAAGAGAACCUAAACUUUGAGUGGGGAUAUUGAAGCAUGUACCAUUAAAAUCAGAAUGAAGAAACUGAGUAGGAUCCGUUUGUGCAGGCGCAGUAAACUCCUGGAGAUUUUGGUUAUGGAUUAUAGACUCGUAAGAAUUAACUUGAGGGAAGCUCUUGAGGGUAGGGGCAGAAUCCUCAUGAAAGUCCAGUUCUUUCAUGAUAGAGUCCCAGUCAAAACUCUGCAGAACAUGCUCAUCCCACUCAAGAGAAGGAUCAGUUGCAGAGACUGGUCCCAGACACAGGACUUGGACUUCGGCGCAGGUCAAGCACUGAGGUGGGUUCAGGGUAGAAUUUUUGAUAUGGAAGCGCGUUAGUAUUAUUGUUGCAAGAAACGGGCUUGGGGUUGGGAGAAACGGGAACUUUCAUAGCUAAGAGCACAAAGCUAUGCCGCUCUGUGUUUAAUUAAGAUCUUUUCCUUUCUCUUCUUGUUGACUAGUUUAGAAGAAAUUAGGGAAAAUUGAGGUAGAAGGGCUUUAGGUGGUGAUGAUUACUGGCCUUUUAUCUUUGCGUGUGCAUGCAU